Non-coding RNA from Caenorhabditis elegans, 21 nucleotides. NCBI's taxonomy places the organism in Eukaryota, Metazoa, Nematoda, Chromadorea, Rhabditida, Rhabditidae. The record is from Ensembl.
GUAAACAUCUCACAUCUGGUC